CAUGAAGUGAAUUUUAAGAGAAAGUGGGGCAUGCAGCAAGACAAUGACCUUAAGCACACAAGCCAUUCUACUAAAGUAUGAUUAAAGACGAAUAAAGUUAAUGUUUUGGAAUGGCCAAGUCAAAGUCCUGACCUUAAUUCAAUAGAAAUGUUGUGUAAGGACCUGAAGCAAGCAGUUCAUGUGAGGAAUCUGUUGGCUCGAAUUUAGCCUAUUACCCAAAAACAUUUAAAACUCAACUUAGAAGCCAAUACUCACAUCUACCUCUGAGCCCAGUUGGAGAUAGAAAAAAUACACCAGCCGUGAGUGAGAAGAAGCAAGGGUCCAGCUUUAUUGUUCCAUUCCACCACACGAGAUCCACACCAAUGAGAAUUCUCAGAAGUGAUCCCAAUAUCCUGAGCUUAGGCUCCAGUAUUUAUACUGUAUUUACACACUAGAUAACCCAUAGGUUUCCAGAAAAGGCCUAUUUCACUUACCCAUAGAAUUGAAACCAGGGGUUUUAAUUUACACAUAAAAUCAGAACCCAGGCAUUUCCAAAAACCCAGGAAACAAAAACCCAGAGUUUCUAGUUACCUAGGUAGCCAGAAACCAGGAUUCUCAAUUCCCUAGGUAAAAAAAAUGACGUAGACAAGACGACUAAACAACCGGGAGGGACCUUGGUCUUAUCGUUAUCUCGGGGGGGGGGCAGCCACCCUUAUAACUGGCUUUCUUCAUGGUUCUCUAAAAAUUAAGGCUUUCCUUGCGAGACGAGAAUCUUCACCAUCUGAAUCAUGAGUAAGUUAUAUUUUCCUUAUUUAUACUGUAUUUACACACUAGAUAACCCAUAGGUUUCCAGAAAAGGCCUAUUUCACUUACCCAUAGAAUUGAAACCAGGGGUUUUAAUUUACACAUAAAAUCAGAACCCAGGCAUUUCCAAAAACCCAGGAAACAAAAACCCAGAGUUUCUAGUUACCUAGGUAGCCAGAAACCAGGAUUCUCAAUUCCCUAGGUAAAAAAAAUGACGUAGACAAGACGACUAAACAACCGGGAGGGACCUUGGUCUUAUCGUUAUCUCGAGGGGGGGGCAGCCACCCUUAUAACUGGCUUUCUUCAUGGUUCUCUAAAAAUUAAGGCUUUCCUUGCGAGACGAGAAUCUUCACCAUCUGAAUCAUGAGUAAGUUAUAUUUUCCUGUUUUUUCCUGUAUUUCUCGUUUAUAA
Molecule: long non-coding RNA, 1194 nt
Organism: Ictalurus punctatus (channel catfish)
Lineage: Eukaryota; Metazoa; Chordata; Actinopteri; Siluriformes; Ictaluridae
Source: Ensembl